AUGAAACUUGAGAUGUGGGAUAAGAGUAAAAAGCUGAAUUAUUGUAUUCUGGUGGUCUAUGGGUCUGCUCAUGAGGAACAUAAAGUAGAAUUUUUGACUGAGCUUUCUGACAUGUGCAAUAGUACUACUUUUCCAUACAUUGUAGGUGGUGACUUUAAUAUCCUGAGGUAUGCUAGUGAGAAGAAUAAGAAAACUAGGACUAGCCAUGCCUCUGAUCUCUUUAACUCCAUCAUUAAUACUUUUUGCCUUAGAGAAGUUGACAUGAAUGGGGGUCUUUAUACCUGGUCUAAUAAUCAGCAAAAACCUACCCUUGAAAAAUUGGACCGGAUACUUAUGUCCAGUUCUUGGGAGAGGAAAUUUACUUUUGUUAGAAAGUUGGUCAAAGAAAUUUCAUAUCACAGCCCCCUGAUCUUGAACACUGAAGACUUUAUUCCUAAUUCAGUUUGAAAGAGAGAAUUUAGAUUUGACCUUAAUUGGCUUAAGAAUCCUGAGUUUAUACCCUUAGUUACUAAGUUGUGGAUGAAACCUGUCAAAUCAAAAGACCCCAUUGACAUUUUGAACAUUAAAAAGAGAUUUAAAAAGUUUUCCAAAGGAUGGGGGGCAAACUUAUUUGGAAAAUCCAGAAAAAGGAGAAGAGGGCUUAGAGUAGAGUUAGAACAUCUAGAAAAAAUGGAAACAGAUGUCCUAUUGCCAGAAUUAUGUGGUAAAAAAGUUGAUAUACUGGUAGAGCUAUAUAACCUCCUGGUGGAGGAGGAAAUUGCUUGGAUGCAAAAAUCCCAUAAAAACUGGCUGUUGAAAGGGGACAAAAAUACUGACUAUUUUCAUAGAAUAGUGAACGGGAGAAGACAGAGGAAUACUAUCUUCUCUCUUAGUUGCGGGGAUGAGGUGAUUGAGGGGACCAAUAACCUUUCGAAACAUGCCACAAAAUUUUAUAAGGACCUUUUUGGGCCCGCAGCUGGAAAUUUAUGCAAGAUGAGGGAGAAUAUGUGGGAAUCAAAUGAGAAACUGACAAACAUUGACAACUUCAUCCUUACUAGACCCUUUUCUGAAACAGAGAUAAAUAACGCUCUCUUUUCCAUGAAACCCAAUAAAGCACCAGGUCCUGAUAAUAUUCCCAUUGAAUUUUUCCAACAUUGUAGGGAGGUGGUUAAAAACAAAGUGAUGCUCUUAUUUGAAUGGUUUCAUGACAAUAAGCUUGAUGUAUAA
This 1206-nucleotide ribosomal RNA is filed under the name Triticum aestivum (bread wheat). RNAcentral describes it as "partial small subunit ribosomal RNA". Lineage: Eukaryota; Viridiplantae; Streptophyta; Magnoliopsida; Poales; Poaceae. The record is from RNAcentral.